CGCCCCCAGGUGGAGCUGCCAGUCACCGGCGGGCCGGUUCUCGUCCGAGCGGCCCCGGGGCUGGCUGCGCGCGUGGCCGUCGGAGGGCUCUUGCGGCGUCGCUGUCUCCGGAGGGCCGGCGCCCCGUCUGCCAGUGUCUCUUCCCAGGUGCACAGACUUCAGACCGUGCCCUGGCGACUCCGGCCCUGACCCAGAGUCGUCGGCUUGGUGGCCCCGCGGCACUUUAGGUCCGGGCCUCAGCGCGCGCCCCGCCUCCCUCGGCUGCCCCUGGGCGGCGUCAGGUCGGACCCCAUCCUGCGAGGCACACGGUCAGAGUGGUCACCGCUGUUCAUUGCCCAUCGGGCAGGCCACCCCGGGCGGGACCGUGGGCAUGCUUUGAGCCCAUGACGGCACCAGUGCCGGAGCCGGGCGUGUCAGCAGCGCCAGCUUUAUGCGACCUGAAUGUUGAUGGCUUGCAGUGCGAAGACUUCCCCCAAAGCUCUUUUCAGUGCUGCCUAUCUUGGUCUAGUGUGAUCAUGUUUUUCAUCGUUUGGAAUGUGCUGGACCACAGGAAGUGUGUGUUCCCAGGGACUAAAACACAAGCAAGAAACCACAAGAAGUCACAUCGCUCUGGGAGCAUUUGCUGAUCUCAGAAUGUCCUGGACAGUCUCUUAUUGCCUUCCUUUGUGGAGUGAUGAUUUUCCACAGUGGUAAGCUCUGAUUCCCUUCUGUUUCUCCUUUGUGAAUCUACUGUAGGUUUUUGCUUUGUGGUUACCAUGAGGCUUAAAUAAACCACCUUAUAGAUACAACAGUAAGUUUUACACUGAUUACAACUUGACUGCAUACAAAAACUCUACCUUUCCACGUCCUCCCCGGAUGUUUUUGCUGUUACGGUUUACAUCUUCAUGUUCUCUAUAUUCAUACACAAAUGAUCGUAGCUGCAGGUAUUUUGGAUUCUAUUGUCCUUUAACCUUUACACAGAGUUAAGUGGUUAACACAUCACAUUAGAGUAUUAGCAGGAUCCAGAAUCUGACUUUGCCCCCGCACCCUUACCGUGUGUUGUAUGUUUUCCUGUGUAUCCACAUUACUGGUUAGCGUCCUUCCAUUUCAGCUGGAAAAACUCCUUUCUGUGUUUCUUGCAGAGCAGGUCCAGUGGGGAUGAACUCCCUCAGUUUUUGUCUGUCUGGGAUAUCUUUAUCUCCCCUUCAUUUCUGAAGGGCAGCUUUGCCAGGUGGAGGAUUCUAGGUUGGCAGGGUCUUCCUUUGACUAUACCGUACUGCCCUGUCCUGGCCUGUAAGGCUCCUGCAGAGAAAUCUGCUGAUUGCUUGAUGGGGGUAGCUUGUAACUUACAAGCCUCUUUUCUCUUGCUGCUCUUAAGAUUCCCUCUUUGUCCUUGAUUUUUGGCAGUUUUAUUAUAAUGUGUCUUGGAAAGGAUCUCUUCAAGUUGAGUUUGGUGACCCAUGAGCUUCAGGACCUUGAGUGUCCAAAUCUCUCCCCUGAUUUGGGAAGUUCUCAGCCAUUAUUUCUUUUACUUCUUUUAUUUAUUUAUUUAUUUAUUUAUUUAAAGAUUUUAUUCAUUUGACAGAGAGAGACACAGCGAGAGAGGGAACACAAGCAGGGGGAAUGGGAGAGGGAGAAGCAGGCUUCCCGUGGAGCAGGGAGCCCGAUGCGGGGCUCGAUCCCAGGACCCCGGGAUCAUGACCCGAGCCAAAGGCAGACGCCCAACGACUGAGCCACCCAGGCGCCCCACCAUUAUUUCUUUUAAAUAAGCUUUCUGCCGCUUUCUCCCGCUCUCCUUCUCUGGACCUCCAAUAAAUCACAGACUGUUUCUUUUGUUGGUCCCACAGGUCAACCGGGAUUUCUUCACUCUCUCAUCCUCUCUCCUUUGUGUCCUUUGACUGGAUGACGUCCAAGUUCCUGUCCACUUCACGGAUUUUCUUCUGCUACAUCCAUUCUGCUGUGGGUGCUCCCCAUUGCACUUUUCAUUUCAUUCACUGUAUUCUUCAGCUCCAGGAUUUUUUGUUUGGUUCUUGUUUAUGAUUUCCAUCUUUGCUAGGCUUUUCAUUUUGUUCAUAUUUUGUUUUCCUGAUUUUGUUGAAUUGUCUUUUUUGUUUGCUUGUUUUCUUGUAGCUCAUUCCUGAAAACAGCUAUUUUGAAUUAUCAGGUAAAUCACAGGUCUCCAAGUCUUUGGGGGUGGUUGCUAGAAGGUUCUUAUGAUCCUUUGGUGGCAUCAUGUUUCUUUGAUUUUGCAUGUUCCUUGAAGUCUGGUGCUGCUGUGUUCACAUCUCAAGUUGCCAUCCCCUCCUCUGGACUUUACUAACUGCCUUUGGGAGAGAAAUACCUUCCCUCAGCCCUGCUAGGGAUUCUGGGGCGAUCCCAGACCUCGGGUGGAUGUGCCUUCUCCUUGUUUCUUGCUCCCUCUUGUGGCUGAUUCUUAAGCUUGUAUGCCUUCUCUCCACCCCACAAUUAACUAGGUUGAGUGCUGACAGCCUCCCCUUUGUUUCCCCAAGGUGGUGCUCAAGCUGUGGUCUCUCCCUGGCCUGCAGAUUUGGGCCCAUUAUUUGUGCGUGCUCACUAGCUGUUUGCCGAAACUCACUCUUACUGCCAUUGGGAGUGCACACAGGGAGCUGGUCACAGUGUGGGAGUGUGUGGGGGUGAGGUGCAUGGAGCGCUGGGGGUGCCAGUGGGCCAGUUGGGGGAUCUGUGAGCAAGGUGUCCCUAGUGGCUCAAGGGCAGGCUUUUUGAUGGGAGUGUUGGGGUCCCUUUUUUGCCCCUGAGAGUUCUAUUUGCUGCUCUCCUAGCUCUUCCUGCCCCCAGUACUCAUGACCCAUACUCUGGAAGAGUCUAGAGACACAGGUAUCUUUGGCAGCAUCUCACAUGGCUGGGGAAGUCAGGUGCUCACUCACAUGCUCUCGCUUUCCCCUGUGAGAGAAAUCCUGGGCUAAGGAACUCUCUCUUGACGCUAAGCUGUAAGGCCCUGGGGGAGGGAUGAUAUGGGUAAAGUCACACUGUUCCUCUUACCCUCUCCAAUGCACCCAAACUCAUAUAUUUUUUUUGUUGUUCUAACGAUGUGCUGGAAUUUGUCUGCUGGAAACCUGGGCUUCCACAAAAGCUCUUUCCUUUGGGGGGGGAUUGUCUAAGAUGGUGUUUUCCAGGGGCUCCCAGAGCAUGGCCAAGAGGGGGUGGAGCCACUUCAUAGGCCACAGCAAGCUUCACAGGUGGGACCAAAGUCUGUGUGCCUAUUACCGGACACGUGGGUGGGUGAGACUGCCUGGGUUCCUUUGUGUGUGGGGCUGGGUCCCACAGUUCCCAGAAAGGCACUCUGUCUGUGGAUGGAUGCUGAACUGCUGUUGAGUGGGGGGACAUGGCGAGGGGUAUCUUAUUCAGCCACGAUGCUGACAUCUCCACAAAGUGUUUAAGGGAACUGUAUGAACAAAGUACCACCUUCAGGGGACUGGACAGUUUAAAGUGAAAAAAGGCCUCUGGGCUCCCAAUUUGCUAAGGGCAGUAAGAGUUUAAGAGUUGCUCAAAGGGCACAUUUUUCAGAGUGAGCAAGAGGCGCUGG
Long non-coding RNA from Mirounga angustirostris (Northern elephant seal), 3544 nucleotides. RefSeq lists it as uncharacterized. The transcript is spliced from 3 exons. NCBI's taxonomy places the organism in Eukaryota, Metazoa, Chordata, Mammalia, Carnivora, Phocidae. The record is from RefSeq and is a predicted model, not a curated record.